AGAUAAACACCGCCUACUACUACUACUACACUCACGUGGACUGGCUGAGGUCAAAUUUAAAACCAUGAAAUUUUCCCGUCUCUGAAGAGCACUACUGCUGACCAUUUCUGCAGGCGCAAAAUCAUCACCAAGAAGAACAAACGUGCUUUGUUAGACAAUUUCUUGCGACCUCUUAUGGUGGAAGUGAUGCGACCUCUUGUGAUGACAAUGACAAAAUUGGAAAGUAGGGUGCAAGAUCAGCAGAAGAAAUAAUGAUAGGUACCAUCGAACAUUUGAAACAAACUCAGGCUGCUGCACCCACUGGACCUGAUUUAUCCCUGCUGGACGGAUUGCUACCAAUACAAAGAUAUGUAGACUUUGAGGACUUUGAACAACAGAUAAAUGGGGACAGUCCCCUUAGAAAGUCACUGGUACAUAGACUCUAGAUUCUUGGGGGAGCAACCGUCAGCAGUCAAAACCAUGAUUGACUUCUGCAUGACAAGUGGACUCCAGUAUGAGUUCAACUGGGAAGGUCGUCUUGGCUGGAAGACGAAAACAAAUACUGUACAUGCAAGAAAGGGUUCAAGAACACGACAUUGUGUGGAAUUAUAAUAAAUAUUCUGGUGAACAAGACACAAUUAUCAACUGAUGAAACUGAAGUAGGGAAAACUAUGAUGAUUUAUCUAAGAAAUGCAUGUGACAGAUACUUGGGAAGGAAAAGACCAAAAGACUUGCACAGUCAGCAAAGUCAAGAUGUGAAUCCCAAUUCAUCUCAACCUAAUUCUGGUGGGGAUCCUGAAGGAAUAUGAUAUAGAGCACUUUUGCUGACUGUUGUCAAGGAAAUUAUAAAUAUUCAUGUAAUUUGUUUAUCACUCAAAUUUAUCUGAUUAUUGU
Long non-coding RNA from Macrobrachium nipponense, 873 nucleotides. RefSeq lists it as uncharacterized. NCBI's taxonomy places the organism in Eukaryota, Metazoa, Arthropoda, Malacostraca, Decapoda, Palaemonidae. The record is from RefSeq and is a predicted model, not a curated record. The transcript is spliced from 4 exons.